AGCCUCGUACCAGCCAGCCCCACCCGUGCCCGAGAUCAACUCCCAGGCGGGCUCCGUGCUGGGGUUCAUCUUGUGCAGUAACAGGUGUGAGCAUCCAUGCAGUGUUUUGAUGGUCAUGUAUGAUACUGCAUACAGCC
This 137-nucleotide small nucleolar RNA is filed under the name Eurypyga helias (sunbittern). Its description in RNAcentral is "Small Cajal body specific RNA 16". It matches the Rfam family "Small Cajal body specific RNA 16", at positions 52 to 187 of the family's 187-position model. From Rfam's summary of the family: scaRNAs are a specific class of small nuclear RNAs which localise to the Cajal bodies and guide the modification of RNA polymerase II transcribed spliceosomal RNAs U1, U2, U4, U5 and U12. The record is from Rfam by way of RNAcentral. Lineage: Eukaryota; Metazoa; Chordata; Aves; Eurypygiformes; Eurypygidae.